CAGGCCUAACACAUGCAAGUCGAACGAGACCUUCGGGUCUAGUGGCGCACGGGUGCGUAACGCGUGGGAAUCUGCCCUUGGGUUCGGAAUAACUCGCCGAAAGGCGUGCUAAUACCGGAUAAUGACGUAAGUCCAAAGAUUUAUCGCCCAAGGAUGAGCCCGCGUAGGAUUAGCUAGUUGGUGAGGUAAGAGCUCACCAAGGCGACGAUCAGUAGCUGGUCUGAGAGGAUGAUCAGCCACAUUGGGACUGAGACACGGCCCAAACUCCUACGGGAGGCAGCAGUGGGGAAUAUUGGACAAUGGGCGAAAGCCUGAUCCAGCCAUGCCGCGUGAGUGAUGAAGGCCCUAGGGUUGUAAAGCUCUUUUACCUGGGAAGAUAAUGACGGUACCAGGAGAAUAAGCCCCGGCUAACUUCGUGCCAGCAGCCGCGGUAAU
Molecule: ribosomal RNA, 435 nt
Filed under: uncultured bacterium
Lineage: Bacteria
Description: bacterial SSU rRNA
Rfam family: Bacterial small subunit ribosomal RNA
Source: RNAcentral